UAUAGUAUAAGCAAUUAUACCGUGAAACUGCGAAUGGCUCAUUAAAUCAGUUAUCGUUUAUUUGAUAAUACCUUACUACUUGGAUAACCGUGGUAAUUCUAGAGCUAAUACAUGCUGAAAAUCCCGACUUCGGAAGGGAUGUGUUUAUUAGAUAAAAAACCAAUGCCCUUCGGGGCUCUUUGGUGAUUCAUGAUAACUUUACGGAUCGCAUAGCCUUGCGCUGGCGACGGUUCAUUCAAAUUUCUGCCCUAUCAACUUUCGAUGGUAAGGUAUUGGCUUACCAUGGUUUCAACGGGUAACGGGGAAUUAGGGUUCGAUUCCGGAGAGGGAGCCUGAGAAACGGCUACCACAUCCAAGGAAGGCAGCAGGCGCGCAAAUUACCCAAUCCCGACACGGGGAGGUAGUGACAAUAAAUACUGAUACAGGGCUCUUUUGGGUCUUGUAAUUGGAAUGAGUACAAUUUAAACCUCUUAACGAGGAACAAUUGGAGGGCAAGUCUGGUGCCAGCAGCCGCGGUAAUUCCAGCUCCAAUAGCGUAUAUUAAAGUUGUUGCAGUUAAA
This 560-nucleotide ribosomal RNA is filed under the name Curvularia spicifera. RNAcentral's name for it is "SSU rRNA". It matches the Rfam family "Eukaryotic small subunit ribosomal RNA", at positions 59 to 623 of the family's 1831-position model. Lineage: Eukaryota; Fungi; Ascomycota; Dothideomycetes; Pleosporales; Pleosporaceae. The record is from RNAcentral.